AUGGGAAGUGCAGGUUUAGAGCAAACAAAGGCACGCUUGCACAUCAAUUGUGCACAACCAGCGACAAGAACCUGGCAGAGGAAAUUUGAUGAUGAAGGCAAGAAGAUCGAACAGUUUAGCAUGACCAUGAAUGACAUGAUAUCAAUCAUACCUCUGAUUCUCAAGGGACUGAUGGUAAAUGCCGAUCAAAUGGGAAAAGGCGGGGAUAUACAAUAUGACCCAUUCAGGAAAUGGAUGGACAACUGCUACCGUGGCCUACCCAUUGGUGGCCUUGGUGCAGGAAGCAUUGGGAGAAGCUACAGAGGAUACUUUCAGCAUUUUCAGAUAUUCCCAGCGUUAUAUGAAGAAAAACCUAUCCUUGCAAACCAAUUUUCAGCGUUCGUCUCGCGUCCCAACGGAAAGAGCUACUCGACGGUGUUGUCUGCGCCGACUGCUGAUGCCCUCAAGGGAGUCGAUAAGGCCACUAUUGGAUCUUGGGACUGGAAGCUUAAGGAGAAAAACUGUACUUAUCAUGCCUUGUUUCCAAGAUCUUGGACAGUUUAUGAUGGUGAGCCUGACCCUGAAAUCAAGAUCACCUGCCGUCAGAUAUCGCCGAUCAUCCCUCACAACUACAAGGAGAGCAGCUUCCCUGUUGCAGUUUUCACUUUUACGGUGCAAAAUUCUGGGAGAACACCUGCAGAUGUAACAUUGCUCUUCACAUGGGCUAAUUCAGUUGGUGGGAGAUCAGAGCUGACUGGAAAUCACACCAACUCCAAGAUGAUGUAA
RNAcentral lists this ribosomal RNA (765 nucleotides) under Triticum aestivum (bread wheat). RNAcentral describes it as "partial small subunit ribosomal RNA". Lineage: Eukaryota; Viridiplantae; Streptophyta; Magnoliopsida; Poales; Poaceae. The record is from RNAcentral.